GCCGGGGUAGCUCAGCUGGUAGAGCAGCUGAUUCGUAAUCAGCAGGUCGUGAGUUCGAAUCUCAUCUCCGGCU
RNAcentral lists this transfer RNA (73 nucleotides) under Candidatus Zixiibacteriota bacterium. Its description in RNAcentral is "tRNA-Thr". It matches the Rfam family "tRNA". Rfam says of the family: Transfer RNA (tRNA) molecules are approximately 80 nucleotides in length. The record is from RNAcentral. Lineage: Bacteria; Pseudomonadati; Candidatus Zixiibacteriota.